CAGCAGCCGCGGGAAUACGUAGGUGGCAAGCGUUGUCCGGAUUUAUUGGGCGUAAAGCGAGCGCAGGCGGUUUCUUAAGUCUGAUGUGAAAGCCCCCGGCUCAACCGGGGAGGGUCAUUGGAAACUGGGAGACUUGAGUGCAGAAGAGGAGAGUGGAAUUCCAUGUGUAGCGGUGAAAUGCGUAGAUAUAUGGAGGAACACCAGUGGCGAAGGCGGCUCUCUGGUCUGUAACUGACGCUGAGGCUCGAAAGCGUGGGGAGCGAACAGGAUUAGAUACCCCUGUAGUCCCUGUCUCUUAUAC
This 301-nucleotide ribosomal RNA is filed under the name uncultured bacterium. Its description in RNAcentral is "partial 16S ribosomal RNA". It matches the Rfam family "Bacterial small subunit ribosomal RNA", at positions 509 to 807 of the family's 1533-position model. The record is from RNAcentral.